This 486-nucleotide ribosomal RNA is filed under the name uncultured organism. RNAcentral's name for it is "bacterial SSU rRNA". It matches the Rfam family "Bacterial small subunit ribosomal RNA", at positions 30 to 507 of the family's 1533-position model. The record is from RNAcentral.
AUUGAACGCUGGCGGCAUGCCUUACACAUGCAAGUCGAACGGCAGCGGGGGUGCUUGCACCUGCCGGCGAGUGGCGAACGGGUGAGUAAUACAUCGGAACGUACCCUGAAGUGGGGGAUAACGUAGCGAAAGUUACGCUAAUACCGCAUAUUCUAUGAGUAGGAAAGCAGGGGACCGCAAGGCCUUGCGCUUUUGGAGCGGCCGAUGUCGGAUUAGCUAGUUGGUGGGGUAAAGGCCUACCAAGGCGACGAUCCGUAGCGGGUCUGAGAGGAUGAUCCGCCACACUGGGACUGAGACACGGCCCAGACUCCUACGGGAGGCAGCAGUGGGGAAUUUUGGACAAUGGGGGCAACCCUGAUCCAGCCAUGCCGCGUGAGUGAAGAAGGCCUUCGGGUUGUAAAGCUCUUUCGGUGGGGAAGAAAUUGCACCUUCUAAUACAGGGUGUAGAUGACGGUACCCGCAUAAGAAGCACCGGCUAACUACGUG